ACGGAAGGCAGCAGUGAGGAAUAUUGGUCAAUGGGCGGAAGCCUGAACCAGCCAAGUCGCGUGAAGGAAGAAGGUAUUAUGUAUUGUAAACUUCUUUAGUCGUAGAGAAAUAAGGUGCUCGUGAGCACUGAUGCUAGUAUACGAAGAAUAAGGAUCGGCUAACUCCGUGCCAGCAGCCGCGGUAAUACGGAGGAUCCGAGCGUUAUCCGGAUUUAUUGGGUUUAAAGGGUGCGCAGGCGGCUUUUUAAGUCAGUGGUCAAAUCGUGGGGCUCAACCCCAUCCCGCCAUUGAUACUGGAGAGCUUGAUUGCGGUCGAGGUUGGCGGAAUUCGUCGUGUAGCGGUGAAAUGCAUAGAUAUGACGAAGAACACCGAUUGCGUAGGCAGCUGACCAGUCCGUAAAUGACGCUCAUGCACGAAAGUGCGGGGAUCGAACAGGAUUAGAUACCCUGGUA
This 453-nucleotide ribosomal RNA is filed under the name uncultured Porphyromonadaceae bacterium. RNAcentral's name for it is "partial 16S ribosomal RNA". It matches the Rfam family "Bacterial small subunit ribosomal RNA", at positions 341 to 792 of the family's 1533-position model. The record is from RNAcentral. Lineage: Bacteria; Pseudomonadati; Bacteroidota; Bacteroidia; Bacteroidales; Porphyromonadaceae.